RNAcentral lists this ribosomal RNA (465 nucleotides) under uncultured bacterium. RNAcentral describes it as "partial 16S ribosomal RNA". It matches the Rfam family "Bacterial small subunit ribosomal RNA", at positions 28 to 507 of the family's 1533-position model. The record is from RNAcentral.
GACGAACGCUGGCGGCGUGCUUAACACAUGCAAGUCGAACGGAAAGGCCCUGCUUGCAGGGUACUCGAGUGGCGAACGGGUGAGUAACACGUGGGUGAUCUGCCCUGCACUUCGGGAUAAGCCUGGGAAACUGGGUCUAAUACCGGAUAGGAGCCAUUUUUAGUGUGAUGGUUGGAAAGUUUUUUCGGUGCAGGAUGAGCUCGCGGCCUAUCAGCUUGUUGGUGGGGUAAUGGCCUACCAAGGCGGCGACGGGUAGCCGGCCUGAGAGGGUGGACGGCCACAUUGGGACUGAGAUACGGCCCAGACUCCUACGGGAGGCAGCAGUGGGGAAUAUUGCACAAUGGGCGCAAGCCUGAUGCAGCGACGCCGCGUGGGGGAGGACGGCCUUCGGGUUGUAAACUCCUUUCGCUAGGGACGAAGCUUUUUGUGACGGUACCUAGAUAAGAAGCACCGGCUAACUACGUG